RNAcentral lists this ribosomal RNA (635 nucleotides) under uncultured bacterium. Its description in RNAcentral is "bacterial SSU rRNA". It matches the Rfam family "Bacterial small subunit ribosomal RNA", at positions 202 to 842 of the family's 1533-position model. The record is from RNAcentral.
AAAUAUUCAUAGGUAACGGUUGGGCAUGCGUCCUAUUAGAUAGUUGGGGGGGUAACGGCCCACCAAGUCGAUGAUAGGUAGGGGUUCUGAGAGGAAGGUCCCCCACACUGGUACUGAGACACGGACCAGACUCCUACGGGAGGCAGCAAUGAGGAAUAUUGGUCAAUGGGCGAGAGCCUGAACCAGCCAAGUCGCGUGAGGGAUGACUGCCCUAUGGGUUGUAAACCUCUUUUGUAUGGGGGGAAUAAGCUUUACGAGUAGAGUGAUGACAGUACCAUACGAAUAAGCAUCGGCUAACUCCGUGCCAGCAGCCGCGGUAAUACGGAGGAUGCGAGCGUUAUCCGGAUUUAUUGGGUUUAAAGGGUGCGUAGGCGGCAUUAUAAGUUAGUGGUAAAAUAUUGGGGCUUCACCUCACUACGCCAUUAAUACUGUAGAGCUAGAGAACAGACGAGGUAGGCGGAAUAAGUUAAGUAGCGGUGAAAUGCAUAGAUAUAACUUAGAACACCGAUAGCGAAGGCAGCUUACCAGACUGAGUCUGACGCUGAUGCACGAGAGCAUGGGUAGCGAACAGGAUUAGAUACCCUGGUAGUCCAUGCCGUAAACGAUGCUCACUGGCCUUAGGCGAUAUAUGGUCU